AGCUGAGGAUGAUUCUGUCUGUGCAGAGAUCUGAGAGGCUCUGCCCAGCCUUCACCAUCCCUGUGUUAACUCAGAAGCUGCUUCUCAGUGUGGUGAAAGGAGACCCCAGGAAAUCGGCCCUCCUUUCCUUCUUUGUCAGGAAAGGUGUUCCCCCAAAAGCUGCAGGUGGAACAAGGAGAGCUGGAGAGGAGAAUGGUGUCAUCACCUGAGGGGAAACACAAAGCAGAAAGAAACGAGGAGGGGAAAUUUCGG
Molecule: long non-coding RNA, 252 nt
Filed under: Chloebia gouldiae (Gouldian finch)
Lineage: Eukaryota; Metazoa; Chordata; Aves; Passeriformes; Passeridae
Description: Erythrura gouldiae (Gouldian finch) lncRNA (ENSEGOG00005015087.1)
Source: RNAcentral